UGGGGAAUAUUGCACAAUGGGGGGAACCCUGAUGCAGCAACGCCGCGUGAGUGAUGACGGUCUUCGGAUUGUAAAGCUCUGUCUUUGGGGACGAUAAUGACGGUACCCAAGGAGGAAGCCACGGCUAACUACGUGCCAGCAGCCGCGGUAAUACGUAGGUGGCGAGCGUUAUCCGGAAUUAUUGGGCGUAAAGGGAGCGUAGGCGGAUAAUUAAGUGGGAUGUGAAAUACUCAGGCUCAACCUGGGGGCUGCAUUCCAAACUGAUUAUCUAGAGUGCAGGAGAGGAGAGUGGAAUUCCUAGUGUAGCGGUGAAAUGCGUAGAGAUUAGGAAGAACACCAGUGGCGAAGGCGACUCUCUGGACUGUAACUGACGCUGAGGCUCGAAAGCGUGGGGAGCAAACAG
RNAcentral lists this ribosomal RNA (403 nucleotides) under uncultured bacterium. RNAcentral describes it as "bacterial SSU rRNA". It matches the Rfam family "Bacterial small subunit ribosomal RNA", at positions 355 to 775 of the family's 1533-position model. The record is from RNAcentral.